RNAcentral lists this ribosomal RNA (440 nucleotides) under uncultured bacterium. RNAcentral describes it as "partial 16S ribosomal RNA". It matches the Rfam family "Bacterial small subunit ribosomal RNA", at positions 338 to 795 of the family's 1533-position model. The record is from RNAcentral.
CCUACGGGGGGCAGCAGUGGGGAAUAUUGCACAAUGGGGGAAACCCUGAUGCAGCGACGCCGCGUGAGUGAAGACGUAAUUCGUUAUGUAAAGCUCUAUCAGCAGGGAAGAAAAGGACGGUACCUGAGUAAGAAUCCCCGGCUAACUACGUGCCAGCAGCCGCGGUAAUACGUAGGGUGCCAGCGUUAUCCGGAUUUACUGGGUGUAAAGGGAGCGUAGACGGCAGUGCAAGUCUGGAGUGAAAGGGGGGGGCUCAACCCCAGGACUGCUGUUGAAACUGUACGGCUGGAGUGCAGGAGAGGUAAGUGGAAUUCGUGGUGUAGCGGUGAAAUGCGUAGAUAUUAGGAGGAACACCAGUGGCGAAGGCGACUAUCUGGCACAUAACUGACGCUGAGGAGCGAAAGCGUGGGUAGCAAACAGGAUUAGAUACCCUAGUAGUC